RNAcentral lists this ribosomal RNA (194 nucleotides) under Tiphodytes gerriphagus. RNAcentral's name for it is "partial 28S ribosomal RNA". It matches the Rfam family "Eukaryotic large subunit ribosomal RNA", at positions 738 to 918 of the family's 3401-position model. The record is from RNAcentral. Lineage: Eukaryota; Metazoa; Arthropoda; Insecta; Hymenoptera; Scelionidae.
GGAUGAGCGUUGCUUUUGCAUCGCUCCGCACUCCCGGGGCGUCUCGUUGUCAUUGCGACAUGAGGCGCACCUAGAGCGUACACGUUGGGACCCGAAAGAUGGUGAACUAUGCCUGGUCAGGAUGAAGUCAGGGGAAACUCUGAUGGAGGUCCGUAGCGAUUCUGACGUGCAAAUCGAUCGUCGGAACUGGGUAU